UUCCGUAGGUGAACCUGCGGAGGGAUCAUUACCGAGUUUACAACUCCCAAACCCAAUGUGAACCAUACCAAACUGUUGCCUCGGCGGGGUCACGCCCCGGGUGCGUCGCAGCCCCGGAACCAGGCGCCCGCCGGAGGGACCAACCAAACUCUUUUCUGUAGUCCCCUCGCGGACGUUAUUUCUUACAGCUCUGAGCAAAAGAUGAAGAACGCAGCGAAAUGCGAUAAGUAAUGUGAAUUGCAGAAUUCAGUGAAUCAUCGAAUCUUUGAACGCACAUUGCGCCCGCCAGUAUUCUGGCGGGCAUGCCUGUCCGAGCGUCAUUUCAACCCUCGAACCCCUCCGGGGGGUCGGCGUUGGGGACCUCGGGAGCCCCUAAGACGGGAUCCCGGCCCCGAAAUACAGUGGCGGUCUCGCCGCAGCCUCUCCUGCGCAGUAGUUUGCACAACUCGCACCGGGAGCGCGGCGCGUCCACGUCCGUAAAACACCCAACUUUCUGAAAUGUUGACCUCGGAUCAGGUAGGAAUACCCGCUGAACUUAAGCAUAUCAAUAAGCGGAGGAA
RNAcentral lists this ribosomal RNA (560 nucleotides) under Trichoderma sp. BUH0006. RNAcentral describes it as "eukaryotic LSU rRNA". The stretch from base 201 to 320 matches the Rfam family "5.8S ribosomal RNA", at positions 35 to 154 of the family's 154-position model. The record is from RNAcentral. Lineage: Eukaryota; Fungi; Ascomycota; Sordariomycetes; Hypocreales; Hypocreaceae.